CGAGUGAAGCGGCAACAGCUCAAAUUUGAAAGCUGGCCCUUUUAGGGUCCGCAUUGUAAUUUGUAGAGGAUGAUUCGGCGAGGGCUCCUGCCUAAGUCCCCUGGAACGGGGCGUCAUAGAGGGUGAGAAUCCCGUAUGCGGUAGGUUGCCUUAGCCAUGUGAAUCUCCUUCGACGAGUCGAGUUGUUUGGGAAUGCAGCUCUAAAUGGGAGGUAAAUUUCUUCUAAAGCUAAAUACCGGCCAGAGACCGAUAGCGCACAAGUAGAGUGAUCGAAAGAUGAAAAGCACUUUGGAAAGAGAGUUAAAAAGUACGUGAAAUUGUUGAAAGGGAAGCGCUUGCAACCAGACUUGUCCGCAGUUGCUCAGCCGGUCUCCUGACCGGCGUACUCUUCUGCGGCCAGGCCAGCAUCAGUUCGGGCGGUCGGAUAAAGGCCUCGGGAAUGUGGCUCCUCUCGGGGAGUGUUAUAGCCCGGGGUGCAAUGCGGCCAGCCUGGACUGAGGAACUCGCUUCGGCAAGGAUGCUGGCGUAAUGGUUGUAAGCGGCCCGUCUUGAAACACGGACCAAGGAGUCUAACAUCUAUGCGAGUGUUCGGGUGUCAAACCCGUACGCGUAAUGAAAGUGAACGGAGGUGGGAACCCGCAAGGGUGCACCAUCGGCCGAUCCUGAUGUCUUCGGAUGGAUUUGAGCAAGAGCAUAGCUGUUGGGACCCGAAAGAUGGUGAACUAUGCCUGAAUAGGGUGAAGCCAGAGGAAACUCUGGUGGAGGCUCGCAGCGGUUCUGACGUGCAAAUCGAUCGUCAA
Molecule: ribosomal RNA, 800 nt
Filed under: Lasiodiplodia theobromae
Lineage: Eukaryota; Fungi; Ascomycota; Dothideomycetes; Botryosphaeriales; Botryosphaeriaceae
Description: partial large subunit ribosomal RNA
Rfam family: Eukaryotic large subunit ribosomal RNA
Source: RNAcentral